This 816-nucleotide long non-coding RNA is filed under the name Physcomitrium patens. RNAcentral's name for it is "long non-coding RNA (PPAT_LNC000184)". The record is from RNAcentral. Lineage: Eukaryota; Viridiplantae; Streptophyta; Bryopsida; Funariales; Funariaceae.
UUUGAUUUAGGAUUUGAUUAGGGUUUGGUUUAGGAUUUGGAUUAGGGUUUGAUUGAAGGUUUAGGAUUUGGUUUAGGAUUUGGUUGGGAUUUAUUUAGGGUUUGGUUUAGGGUUUAGGAUUUGGAUAUGAGUUUGGUUAGGGUUUGAUUUAGGGUUUAAGGUUUAAUUAGGAUUUGAUUAGGGUUUGAUUUCGGAUUUAGGAUUUGGAUUAGGAUUUGGUUAGGAUUUGAUUUAGGAUUUAGGAUUUGAAUUAGGGUUUGAUUUAGAGUUUAGGAUUUAGAUCAGGAUUUGGUUAGGAUUUGAUUUAGGAUUUAGAGUUUGGUUUAGAGUUCGGUUAGGAUUUGGUUUAGGAUUUGAUUGGGAUUUGGUUUAAGGUUUGUUUAGGAUUUGAUUCAGGGUUUAGGAUUUUAUUAGGAUUUAAGAUUCAAUUAGUUUUGGCCUAAAGUUUGAAUGAAGUUCAAUAGGAUUUUAACUAGAAUUAAAUUAAGAUUGAAUUGAGAUGUAUUUGAGUGAUAUUUGUCAUUCUUGUAAUAUUUCUUUAAGAAUUCUUAUUGUUUGUUUGAAAUUUCUUUGAGGUUUUUUUUGAAUUUGAUUAAGCUUGCUUAGCAUUAUUAUGGUUUAAUUAGAGCAUUAUUAGUAUUCUAUUAGAAUUAAGAUUUUGUUAUUACAAUUUCUAUUCUUUCUUCUACAGCCAGGUGCUUGGAGCAUUCUCAAGUAAGACUUCACGUAUUACGACAACGCGUAUUAAAAGUCCUAUAGCAUGUUGACACAUAGUUCUUAGUUAAGUAGUAUAUAUAAAGGGAAGAGUGAGGCCUU